GACGAACGCUGGCGGCGUGCUUAACACAUGCAAGUCGAACGGUAAGGCCCCUUCGGUGGUACACGAGUGGCGAACGGGUGAGUAACACGUGAGCAACCUGCCCUUGCCUCUGUAAUAACAGUUGUCAACAGCUGCUAAUACUUAAUAUUCAUCGUCUCCUUCCUGGGGGGUGGUGGAAAGCUCCGGCGGUCAGGGAUGGGCUCGCGGCCUAUCAGCUUGUUGGUGGGGUAAUGGCUCACCAAGGCUUCGACGGGUAGCCGGCCUGAGAGGGGGACCGGCCACACUGGGACUGAGAUACGGCCCAGACUCCUACGGGAGGCAGCAGUGGGGAAUAUUGCACAAUGGGCGCAAGCCUGAUGCAGCAACGCCGCGUGCGGGAUGACGGCCUUCGGGUUGUAAACCGCUUUCAGUAGGGACGAAGGGUGACUGACGGUACCUACAGAAGAAGGACCGGCUAACUACGUG
RNAcentral lists this ribosomal RNA (465 nucleotides) under uncultured bacterium. RNAcentral's name for it is "partial 16S ribosomal RNA". It matches the Rfam family "Bacterial small subunit ribosomal RNA", at positions 28 to 507 of the family's 1533-position model. The record is from RNAcentral.